AUGCACCACGGCCCGCCACCACCCCAGCGUCCCUCAAGUCGCGCCGCCCCGCGCCUGACUACCCUCGUGCGGCCCACCUCAGGCUCCACUGUAGUCCGUCCUCCCCGGCCAGGAGGUUCUCUCAAGCGCACCGGCCUCCCCUCUGCUUCUUCUCCACUUCUGACGAACACAAAAACAUGUGAGCAUUUGGGUUUGUUGUUGGAGUUCACUUUUUUUUUUGGGGAUGAAAAAUUCAGUGCACUGCAGUUUGCUAUUCCUGCUAUUGCGGUUUCAGUUUGCAGGAGGCCAACCUCUUUCAAUCACGGAGCUGGAGGUGAACGGCGGCAACAACGCCCCGUGCAGUUCAAAAAUUGCUUGUUUUGCUGCUUCUUUUUUUUGCCUUCAGAUGCAGUUCACCAUGGCCUCGCACGCGGUCUGGUGUCACAGCUGUUUCAGUGCUUGCGUGCGCCAUGGCCUCGCACGGAUGCAGUUCAGAAAAGUGCUUGUUUUCUUGUUUUGCAGUGCAGAUUGUAUCGACGAGAAGUGCACCACAUGUACAAAGGAGAAAAAAAGAAUAUCGUCAUUUUUUUUGAAGUUUGUUUUAUUGUUCGAGAAAACAGACAUAAUGCUGGAGUGUGA
RNAcentral lists this ribosomal RNA (618 nucleotides) under Triticum aestivum (bread wheat). Its description in RNAcentral is "partial small subunit ribosomal RNA". Lineage: Eukaryota; Viridiplantae; Streptophyta; Magnoliopsida; Poales; Poaceae. The record is from RNAcentral.